This 421-nucleotide ribosomal RNA is filed under the name uncultured bacterium. Its description in RNAcentral is "bacterial SSU rRNA". It matches the Rfam family "Bacterial small subunit ribosomal RNA", at positions 355 to 774 of the family's 1533-position model. The record is from RNAcentral.
UAAGGAAUAUUGGUCAAUGGACGCAAGUCUGAACCAGCCAUGCCGCGUGAAGGAUGAAGGUCCUCUGGAUUGUAAACUUCUUUUAUCUGGGACGAAAACGGGAUUUUUAUCUCAAUUGACGGUACCAGAGGAAUAAGCACCGGCUAACUCCGUGCCAGCAGCCGCGGUAAUACGGAGGGUGCGAGCGUUAUCCGGAUUUACUGGGUUUAAAGGGUGCGUAGGUGGGCUUAUAAGUCAGUGGUGAAAUCUCCGAGCUUAACUUGGAAACUGCCGUUGAUACUGUAGGUCUUGAAUAUUGUGGAGGUAAGCGGAAUAUGUCAUGUAGCGGUGAAAUGCUUAGAUAUGACAUAGAACACCAAUUGCGAAGGCAGCUUACUACACAAUCAUUGACGCUGAGGCACGAAAGCGUGGGGAUCAAACA